CCUACGGGUGACAGCAGUGAGGAAUAUUGGUCAAUGGCCGCGAGCCUGAACCAGCCAAGUAGCGUGAAGGAAGACUGCCCUACGGGUUGUAAACUUCUUUUAUAAAGGAAUAAAGUGAGGCACGUGUGCCUCUUUGUAUGUACUUUAUGAAUAAGCAUCGGCUAACUCCGUGCCAGCAGCCGCGGUAAUACGGAGGAUCCGAGCGUUAUCCGGAUUUAUUGGGUUUAAAGGGUGCGUAGAUGGGUUGUUAAGUCAGUUGUGAAAGUUUGCGGGUCAACCGUAAAAUUGCAGUUGAAACUGGCAGCCUUGAGUACGGUUGAGGUAGGCGGAAUGCGUGGUGUAGCGGUGAAAUGCUUAGAUAUCACGAAGAACUCCGAUUGCGAAGGCAGCUUACUAAACUGCAACUGACACUGAUGCACGAAAGUGUGGGUAUCAAACAGGAUUAGAUACCCUUGUAGUC
This 460-nucleotide ribosomal RNA is filed under the name uncultured bacterium. RNAcentral describes it as "partial 16S ribosomal RNA". It matches the Rfam family "Bacterial small subunit ribosomal RNA", at positions 338 to 795 of the family's 1533-position model. The record is from RNAcentral.